GAGUUUGAUCUUGGCUCAGAUUGAACGCUGGCGGCAUGCCUUACACAUGCAAGUCGAACGGCAGCAUGAUCUAGCUUGCUAGAUUGAUGGCGAGUGGCGAACGGGUGAGUAAUACAUCGGAACGUGCCCUGUAGUGGGGGAUAACUAGUCGAAAGAUUAGCUAAUACCGCAUACGACCUGAGGGUGAAAGUGGGGGACCGCAAGGCCUCAUGCUAUAGGAGCGGCCGAUGUCUGAUUAGCUAGUUGGUGGGGUAAAGGCCCACCAAGGCGACGAUCAGUAGCUGGUCUGAGAGGACGAUCAGCCACACUGGGACUGAGACACGGCCCAGACUCCUACGGGAGGCAGCAGUGGGGAAUUUUGGACAAUGGGCGAAAGCCUGAUCCAGCAAUGCCGCGUGCGUGAAGAAGGCCUCGG
RNAcentral lists this ribosomal RNA (415 nucleotides) under uncultured microorganism. RNAcentral describes it as "bacterial SSU rRNA". It matches the Rfam family "Bacterial small subunit ribosomal RNA", at positions 9 to 420 of the family's 1533-position model. The record is from RNAcentral.